RNAcentral lists this ribosomal RNA (468 nucleotides) under uncultured bacterium. Its description in RNAcentral is "partial 16S ribosomal RNA". It matches the Rfam family "Bacterial small subunit ribosomal RNA", at positions 38 to 507 of the family's 1533-position model. The record is from RNAcentral.
GAGGAAAGAGGGGGGCGUGCUUAACACAUGCAAGUCGAACGGAAAGGCCCUGCUUUUGUGGGGUGCUCGAGUGGCGAACGGGUGAGUAACACGUGAGUAACCUGCCCUUGACUUUGGGAUAACUUCAGGAAACUGGGGCUAAUACCGGAUAGGAGCUCCUGCUGCAUGGUGGGGGUUGGAAAGUUUCGGCGGUUGGGGAUGGACUCGCGGCUUAUCAGCUUGUUGGUGGGGUAGUGGCUUACCAAGGCUUUGACGGGUAGCCGGCCUGAGAGGGUGACCGGCCACAUUGGGACUGAGAUACGGCCCAGACUCCUACGGGAGGCAGCAGUGGGGAAUAUUGCACAAUGGGCGGAAGCCUGAUGCAGCAACGCCGCGUGCGGGAUGACGGCCUUCGGGUUGUAAACCGCUUUCGCCUGUGACGAAGCGUGAGUGACGGUAAUGGGUAAAGAAGCACCGGCUAACUACGUG